CCUACGGGUGGCAGCAGUAGGGAAUAUUGCUCAAUGGGGGAAACCCUGAAGCAGCAACGCCGCGUGGAGGAUGAAGGUUUUCGGAUUGUAAACUCCUUUUGUUAGAGAAGAUAAUGACGGUCUCUAACGAAUAAGCACCGGCUAACUCCGUGCCAGCAGCCGCAGUAAUACGGAGGGUGCACGCGUUUCUCGGAAUCACUGGGUGCAAAGAGCGCGUAGGCGGGAUAGCAAGUCAGAUGUGAAAUCCUAUGGCUCAACCAUAGAACUGCAUUUGAAACUGUGAUUCUAGAGUGUGGGAGCGGAAGGGGGAAUGCUUGGUGUAGGGGUAAAAU
RNAcentral lists this ribosomal RNA (332 nucleotides) under uncultured bacterium. RNAcentral's name for it is "partial 16S ribosomal RNA". It matches the Rfam family "Bacterial small subunit ribosomal RNA", at positions 338 to 687 of the family's 1533-position model. The record is from RNAcentral.